Molecule: long non-coding RNA, 433 nt
Organism: Orcinus orca (killer whale)
Lineage: Eukaryota; Metazoa; Chordata; Mammalia; Artiodactyla; Delphinidae
Exons: 4
Source: RefSeq, a predicted model, not a curated record
AUUAUUUUUGUGGCCCAGGAGGUGUCUGGGCAAGUGACCAAGGGAAAUGAUUGUUGCAAAUGAGCAUCAUGCCAGUGCCCAGGGCAGUGGCUGGAGCAGAGGACCGAGAAUUGGCUCACGUGAGUAUGGAGACUGAGAAAUCCUAAGAUCUGCAGUUGGCCAGCUGGAGACUCAGGAGAGCCGAUGGUGUAGUUCCAGGAGAGCCAAUGGUACAAAUUCCAGUCCAAAAGCCAGCAGCUUAAGACCCAAGAAGAGUCUAAAGGCAGGAAGACCAGUGUCCCAGCUCAAGGGUGUCCUGGAGGUCAGCGACUGCAGUGGGUGAUGACUCGAUCCUUGGAGAACUGGAUGAAAAUAUAAUGCUUACUCGAAGGCAUCUGAGGCUUUACUCGGAAUCUUCCAUUGUCAAGUCACUGGCUCGCAUUUUAUCCUCAGC